UAAGCAGACGAGGUGGUCGUCGGUCCUGACUGUUCUCACGAAUGGAAGGGACGGGAGGAAAGUCCGAGCUCCACAGGGCACAGUGCUCCGUAACGCGGAGUCCCGGUGACGGGAAGGAAAGUGCAACAGAAAAUAUACCGUUCCAUCUUUUUGAUGGAAUAAGGGUGAAAUGGUGGGGUCGUUUCCCUGGUUAAAAACAGGGACAAGUAUC
Molecule: RNase P RNA, 211 nt
Filed under: Planctomycetes bacterium RIFOXYD2_FULL_41_16
Lineage: Bacteria; Pseudomonadati; Planctomycetota
Description: partial RNase P RNA component class A
Rfam family: Bacterial RNase P class A
About the family: Ribonuclease P (RNase P) is a ubiquitous endoribonuclease, found in archaea, bacteria and eukarya as well as chloroplasts and mitochondria. Its best characterised activity is the generation of mature 5'-ends of tRNAs by cleaving the 5'-leader elements of precursor-tRNAs.
Source: RNAcentral